UACGGAGGGGGCUAGCGUUGUUCGGAAUUACUGGGCGUAAAGCGCACGUAGGCGGCUUCGCAAGUCAGAGGUGAAAUCCCGGGGCUCAACCCCGGAACUGCCUUUGAUACUGCGUCGCUCGAAUCCGGGAGAGGCGGGUGGAAUUCCCAGUGUAGAGGUGAAAUUCGUAGAUAUUGGGAAGAACACCGGUGGCGAAGGCGGCCCCCUGGUCCGGCACUGACGCUGAGGUGCGAAAGCGUGGGGAGCAAACAGG
This 253-nucleotide ribosomal RNA is filed under the name uncultured bacterium. Its description in RNAcentral is "partial 16S ribosomal RNA". It matches the Rfam family "Bacterial small subunit ribosomal RNA", at positions 524 to 776 of the family's 1533-position model. The record is from RNAcentral.